This 253-nucleotide ribosomal RNA is filed under the name uncultured bacterium. Its description in RNAcentral is "partial 16S ribosomal RNA". It matches the Rfam family "Bacterial small subunit ribosomal RNA", at positions 524 to 776 of the family's 1533-position model. The record is from RNAcentral.
UACGAAGGGGGCUAGCGUUGCUCGGAAUUACUGGGCGUAAAGCGCACGUAGGCGGAUUUGUAAGUCAGGGGCGAAAUCCCGGGGCUCAACCUCGGAACUGCCUUUGAUACUGCAAAUCUCGAGUCCGGAAGAGGUGAGUGGAAUUCCUAGUGUAGAGGUGAAAUUCGUAGAUAUUAGGAAGAACACCAGUGGCGAAGGCGGCUCACUGGUCCGGUACUGACGCUGAGGUGCGAAAGCGUGGGGAGCAAACAGG